UCUUUUAUUUGGGUCAUUGCAGACAAUUGAAUCUACAAAAGGUGAUGAUUACUGGAGACUCUAAUGAUUGCAUGGGCUUUCAAAACAGCGUGGAGAUUGAAAGCUUCGCGAGAUUUGCUGUCCAAGAACACAACAAGAGACAGAAUGCUCUUCUUGAAUUUGUAAGGGCUCUGAAGGCCAAAGAACAGGUAGUUGCUGGCAAGCUAUACUAUCUUACUCUGGAAGCAAUUGAUGGUGGUCAUAAGAAGAUGUAUGAAGCUAAAGUAUGGGUGAAGCCAUGGAUGAACUUCAAACAAUUGGAGGAAUUCAAACAUGCUGAAAGUGAUCUUUCCCUUACUCCUUCAGACCUUGGAGUGACACAAGAUGGUCAUGGAUCAGGAUGGCGAGCAGU
Molecule: unclassified non-coding RNA, 391 nt
Filed under: Hevea brasiliensis (rubber tree)
Lineage: Eukaryota; Viridiplantae; Streptophyta; Magnoliopsida; Malpighiales; Euphorbiaceae
Source: RNAcentral